UGCCAGUGAUAAACUGGAGGAAGGUGGGGAUGACGUCAAGUCAUCAUGGCCCUUACGACCAGGGCUACACACGUGCUACAAUGGCAUAUACAAAGAGAAGCGACCUCGCGAGAGCAAGCGGACCUCAUAAAGUAUGUCGUAGUCCGGAUUGGAGUCUGCAACUCGACUCCAUGAAGUCGGAAUCGCUAGUAAUCGUAGAUCAGAAUGCUACGGUGAAUACGUUCCCGGGCCUUGUACACACCGCCCGUCACACCAUGGGAGUGGGUUGCAAAAGAAGUAGGUAGCUUAACCUUCGG
RNAcentral lists this ribosomal RNA (296 nucleotides) under Klebsiella pneumoniae. RNAcentral describes it as "partial 16S ribosomal RNA". It matches the Rfam family "Bacterial small subunit ribosomal RNA", at positions 1150 to 1445 of the family's 1533-position model. The record is from RNAcentral. Lineage: Bacteria; Pseudomonadati; Pseudomonadota; Gammaproteobacteria; Enterobacterales; Enterobacteriaceae.